CCUACGGGAGGCUGCAGUGAGGAAUAUUGGUCAAUGGACGAGAGUCUGAACCAGCCAAGUAGCGUGAAGGAUGACUGCCCUAUGGGUUGUAAACUUCUUUUAUAUGGGAAUAAAAUGUUCCACGUGUGGGAUUUUGUAUGUACCAUAUGAAUAAGGAUCGGCUAACUCCGUGCCAGCAGCCGCGGUAAUACGGAGGAUCCGAGCGUUAUCCGGAUUUAUUGGGUUUAAAGGGAGCGUAGGUGGAUUGUUAAGUCAGUUGUGAAAGUUUGCGGCUCAACCGUAAAAUUGCAGUUGAAACUGGCAGUCUGGAGUAGAGUAGAGGUGGGCGGAAUUCGUGGUGUAGCGGUGAAAUGCUUAGAUAUCACGAAGAACUCCGAGUGCGAAGGCAGCUCACUGGACUGCAACUGACACUGAGGCUCGAAAGUGUGGGUAUCAAACAGGAUUAGAUACCCCAGUAGUC
RNAcentral lists this ribosomal RNA (460 nucleotides) under uncultured bacterium. RNAcentral's name for it is "partial 16S ribosomal RNA". It matches the Rfam family "Bacterial small subunit ribosomal RNA", at positions 338 to 795 of the family's 1533-position model. The record is from RNAcentral.